ACUUUGAAGGCCGAAGAGGGGA
RNAcentral lists this small nuclear RNA (22 nucleotides) under Arabidopsis thaliana (thale cress). Its description in RNAcentral is "snRNA_05740". Lineage: Eukaryota; Viridiplantae; Streptophyta; Magnoliopsida; Brassicales; Brassicaceae. The record is from RNAcentral.